RNA transcript from Glycine soja, 1782 nucleotides. It is a transcript of the gene named 5-formyltetrahydrofolate cyclo-ligase-like protein COG0212, with no coding region annotated. The transcript is spliced from 8 exons. Lineage: Eukaryota; Viridiplantae; Streptophyta; Magnoliopsida; Fabales; Fabaceae. The record is from RefSeq and is a predicted model, not a curated record.
AGAAACUGAGUCUAAAUGUUGGUUUAGUUGUACACAUGUAACUCGACCAUACAACCCAACGUUCUUUCUGGUAAAAUGGAUGCUCAGCACCAACAUCCCCUACCCCUCCUCUCUCUUCACCCUUCGUUCUCCGCAGCAGCUGGUUCAAGGUGGAAGCCGCCGCCGGCAGCCAGAAGAACAACAGCAACAAGGCCUUCGAUGCGGCGGCGUUCGAGGCGGAGCGGUUGGCCCUCGACGCGGAGUCCCGGCGAGCCAUGGCGGAGGCUGCCUACCCCAAGGCCUGGAAAUGGGUAAUCCGUAAGAGAAUAUGGGAUGUGAUGGAAGCUCGCAACUUCGCCAACAACCCCCGGCCCGUUCACCACCGCAUUCCCAAUUUCGUUGGCGCCUCUGUUGCGGCUGAAAAGAUGAGGGAGCUAGAUGUGUUUCAGGUAGCACAAUGUGUAAAGGUUAAUCCAGACUCUCCUCAGAAACAAGUCAGGUUUCUCACUCUUUCAGAUGGCAAGAAGUUGUUGACUCCUCAACCUCGGCCGAGAACAGGUUUCUUCUCUGUACUUGAUUCCAAUAUGUUAACUUUGGAUACCAUCAAGGAAGCCUGCACUUCUGUUGGGGUUGCCAAGCAUGGACAGCCGAUUGGGUUAGACAAAAAGAUAAAGGUAGAUCUUAUUGUUAUUGGAUCUGUUGCUGUUGACCCAAGGACAGGUGCUUGAUUGGGAAAGGGAGAGGGAAUUGCAGAACUUGAAUAUGGUAUGCUGAGGUACAUGGGAGCCAUCGAUGAUUCAACACCAGUUGUUACCUCUGUGCAUGACUGCCAAUUGGUGGACGAUAUUCCUGUUGAAAAGCUGUUAAUCCAUGACGUACCAGUGGAUAUCAUUUGUACUCCAACACAGGUCAUUUUCACAAAUACAUUUAUGCCAAAGCCUCAAGGAAUUUAUUGGGACAAGUUGUCUCCUGAGAAGUUGGGACAAAUUCGUAUACUGAGGGAGUUCAAGAAGAGGAUUGAACAAGAGACUGGACAGAAGCUUCCUACUGGUCCAUCAGAGAAAUUACCCCCUAUUGCUCAACGAAGUAGAAGGGGUUGAUCAUGUACAUGAAGUGAGCUUUGAAAAAUUAUGCUUGAAAUAGUGGUCAUCACACCAGUUUGGUACUUUGGUUGGUGUGGGUACUUUAGACAUAGCUAGAGCGGGCCAAAAAUGCAAGACUUACUUUUCUUAACUUUUUUUGGUGCAUGAGAAUGAUGGGUCUUGAGUGGAAGGAUAUUGCUUUUGUUCAGAAGUCAAAUGUGGAGAGUUAUAUACAAUGAAUUACAGAUUUCCUUGGUCCCCAUGAAAGGAAGGAAGCUCCACGUAAUGGUUCAUUUGUCCACUCCAAACCGACUGCGGAAUAUCAUUGGAUGUCUUUUACGACGACUUGGAUUUCUUUUAAGAUCUUAUUACAUAAGUCAAAUGUGACGUGGAUACAAACACGUGAAUCUAUUAAAAAAUUUCAUGAUGUGACCAGAGAUAGAAUGCUCUUCAAGCCUUUUUCAACUAUCAUUGUCCACUGGGUUCCAGUUGUACGAUAAAAAUGUAUUGAUAUCAUAUUGUUAAGGCAAAUCUAUCAUGCUUUUGAAGCAUAAAUGUGGAAUGUAAAAAGACUCGCCACUUAAACGUAUAGUAGUCAAAAUCUAUCUUGAAGUAUCCAAGGAACUUUGCCAUUUGAGGCAUAUAAGAAUUGAGUUUGAAAGGUACUGCACUGCGUCAAAAAUUAUAAAUGUUACCCAAGUUUUUAGUUUCUACCCCUUCA